AAUAUUUCGCAAUGGGGGAAACCCUGACGCAGCAACGCCGCGUGAGCGAGGAAGGCCUUCGGGUCGUAAAGCUCUGUCUAGAGGGAUGAAACAUGACAGUACCUCUGGAGGAAGCCCCGGCUAACUACGUGCCAGCAGCCGCGGUAAUACGUAGGGGGCAAGCGUUGUCCGGAUUUACUGGGCGUAAAGGGCGCGUAGGCGGUAGUAUAAGUCAGAUGUGAAAGUCCAGGGCUCAACCGUGGAAUUGCAUUUGAAACUGUGCUACUUGAGUGCAGGAGAGGAGAGCGGAAUUCCUAGUGUAGCGGUGAAAUGCGUAGAUAUCGGGAGGAACACCAGUGGCGAAGGCGACUACCUGGACGACAACUGACGCUGAGGCACGAAAGCUAGGGGAGCAAAC
This 397-nucleotide ribosomal RNA is filed under the name uncultured bacterium. Its description in RNAcentral is "partial 16S ribosomal RNA". It matches the Rfam family "Bacterial small subunit ribosomal RNA", at positions 360 to 773 of the family's 1533-position model. The record is from RNAcentral.